This 1462-nucleotide ribosomal RNA is filed under the name uncultured archaeon. RNAcentral's name for it is "partial 16S ribosomal RNA". It matches the Rfam family "Archaeal small subunit ribosomal RNA". The record is from RNAcentral.
UCCGGUUGAUCCUGCCAGACCCCACUGCUAUCGGGAUAGGACUAAGACAUGCUAGUCGAGCGCGUCAGCCAAAACGACGCGCGGCGCACAGCUCAGUAGCACGUGGCUAAUCUGCCCUUGGGACGAGAACAACCCCGGGAAACUGGGGCUAACUCUCGAUAGGCGAAGAACACUGGAAUGUGUCUUCACCCAAAAAGCUUCACGUUAUGCUCGUGGAGUUGCCCAAGGAUGAGGCCGCGGCCGAUCAGGUUGUUGGCGAGGUAAUGGCUCACCAAGCCUUUUACCGGUGCGGGCCGUGGGAGCGGGAGCCCGGAGAUGGGUACUUAGACAAGGACCCAGGCCCUACGGGGCGCAGCAGUCGCGAGACCUUUGCAAUACACGUAAGUGUGACAGGGCUAUCCCGAGUGCCAUCCGCUGAGGAAGGCUUUUACCCAGUCUAGACCGCUGGGGGAAUAAGAAGAGGGCAAGUCUGGUGUCAGCCGCCGCGGUAAUACCAGCUCUCCGAGUGGUGUGGAUGUUUAUUGGGCCUAAAGCAUCCGUAGCUGGCUAGGUUAGUCCCCUGUUAAAUCCACCGAAUUAAUCGUUGGAUCGCGGGGGAUACUGCUUGGCUAGGGGACGAGAGAGGCAGACGGUAUUUCCGGGGUAGGAGUGAAAUCUUGUAAUCCUCGAGGGACGACCUAUGGCGAAGGCAGUUUACCAGAACAGCUUCGACAGUGAGGGACGAAAGCUGGGGGAGCAAACGGGAUUAGAUACCCCGGUAGUCCCAGCCGUAACAAUGUGCGUUAGGUGUGUCGGUAACCACGUGUUACUGAUGCGCCGAAGAGAAAUCGUGAAACGCACCACCUGGGAAGUACGGUCGCAAGGCUGAAACUUAAAGGAAUUGGCGGGGGAGCACCACAACAGGUGGAGCCUGCGGUUUAAUUGGAUUCAACGCCGGACAUCUCACCGGAUAAGACAGCUGAAUGAUUGUCAAUCUGAAGGUUUUACAUGACUAGCUGAGAGGAGGUGCAUGGCCGUCGUCAGUUCGUACUGUGAAGCAUCCUGUUAAGUCAGGCAACGAGCGAGACCCACGCCGACAAUUGCCAGCAGCAUCUCCGGAUGGCUGGGGACAUUGUCGGGACCGCCUCUGCUAAAGGGGAGGAAGGAAUGGGCAACGGUAGGUCAGCAUGCCCCGAAUUAUCCGGGCUACACGCGGGCUACAAUGGACGGGACAAUGGGUAACAACACCGAAAGGUGCAGUCAAUCUCCGAACCCCGCCCUUAGUUAGGAUUGCGGGUUGCAACUCACCCGCAUGAAUCUGGAAUCUGUAGUAAUCGCGUUUCACUAUAGCGCGGUGAAUACGUCCCUGCUCCUUGCACACACCGCCCGUCAAACCAUCCUAGUGGGGUUUGGAUGAGUCCCUGGUCUUUGCCGGGGUCGAAUCUAGGUUCCGUGAGGAGGGUUAAGUCGUAACAAGGUAACC